RNAcentral lists this ribosomal RNA (607 nucleotides) under crenarchaeote SCGC AAA001-I18. RNAcentral's name for it is "SSU rRNA". It matches the Rfam family "Archaeal small subunit ribosomal RNA", at positions 362 to 970 of the family's 1478-position model. Lineage: Archaea; Thermoproteati; Thermoproteota. The record is from RNAcentral.
AAAGCACGACAAGGUUAAUCCGAGUGAUUUCUGCUAAAGAAAUCUUUUGCAAGUCAUAAAACCACUAGUGAAUAAGGGGUGGGCAAGUUCUGGUGUCAGCCGCCGCGGUAAAACCAGCACCUCAAGUGGUCAGGAGGAUUAUUGGGCCUAAAGCAUCCGUAGCCGGCUCUGUAAGUUUUCGGUUAAAUCCAUGUGCUCAACGCAUGGGCUGCCGAAAAUACUGCAUAGCUAGGGAGUGGGAGAGGUAGACGGUACUCGGUAGGAAGGGGUAAAAUCCUUUGAUCUAUCGAUGACCACCUGUGGCGAAGGCGGUCUACCAGAACACGUUCGACGGUGAGGGAUGAAAGCUGGGGGAGCAAACCGGAUUAGAUACCCGGGUAGUCCCAGCUGUAAACGAUGCAGACUCGAUGAUGCAUUGGCAUAUAGCCAGUGCAGUGUCGCAGGGAAGCCGUUAAGUCUGCCGCCUGGGAAGUACGUACGCAAGUAUGAAACUUAAAGGAAUUGGCGGGGGAGCACCACAAGGGGUGAAGCCUGCGGUUCAAUUGGAGUCAACGCCAGAAAUCUUACCCGGAGAGACAGCAGAAUGAAGGUCAAGCUGAAGACUUUC